This 261-nucleotide ribosomal RNA is filed under the name uncultured bacterium. RNAcentral's name for it is "partial 16S ribosomal RNA". It matches the Rfam family "Bacterial small subunit ribosomal RNA", at positions 527 to 787 of the family's 1533-position model. The record is from RNAcentral.
GAAGGGACCWAGCGUAGUUCGGAAUUACUGGGYGUAAAGCGCGCGUAGGCCGUUGAGUUAGUUAAUUGUGAAAUCCCAAAGCUUAACUUUGGAACUGCAAUUAAAACUGCUCGACUAGAGUUUGAUAGAGGAAAGCGGAAUACAUAGUGUAGAGGUGAAAUUCGUAGAUAUUAUGUAGAACACCAGUUGCGAAGGCRGCUUUCUGGAUCAACACUGACGCUGAGGCGCGAAAGURUGGGUAGCAAACAGGAUUAGAUACCC